Molecule: ribosomal RNA, 514 nt
Filed under: uncultured Prevotella sp.
Lineage: Bacteria; Pseudomonadati; Bacteroidota; Bacteroidia; Bacteroidales; Prevotellaceae
Description: bacterial SSU rRNA
Rfam family: Bacterial small subunit ribosomal RNA
Source: RNAcentral
AGAGUUUGAUCCUGGCUCAGGAUGAACGCUAGCUAUAGGCUUAACACAUGCAAGUCGAGGGGAAACGGCAUUAUGUGCUUGCACAUUCUGGACGUCGACCGGCGCACGGGUGAGUAUCGCGUAUCCAACCUUCCCUCCACUCGGGGAUACCCCGUUGAAAGACGGCCUAAUACCCGAUGUUGUCCACAUAUGGCAUCUGACGUGGACCAAAGAUUCAUCGGUGGAGGAUGGGGAUGCGUCUGAUUAGCUUGUUGGUGCGGGUAACGGCCCACCAAGGCUACGAUCAGUAGGGGUUCUGAGAGGAAGGUCCCCCACAUUGGAACUGAGACACGGUCCAAACUCCUACGGGAGGCAGCAGUGAGGAAUAUUGGUCAAUGGACGGAAGUCUGAACCAGCCAAGUAGCGUGCAGGAUUGACGGCCCUAUGGGUUGUAAACUGCUUUUGUUGGGGAGUAAAGUGGGGCACGCGUGCCUUUUUGCAUUUACCCUUCGAAUAAGGACCGGCUAAUUCCGUG